AGUGAACGCUGGCGGUAGGCCUAACACAUGCAAGUCGAACGGCAGCACAGUAAGAGCUUGCUCUUACGGGUGGCGAGUGGCGGACGGGUGAGGAAUACAUCGGAAUCUACUUUUUCGUGGGGGAUAACGUAGGGAAACUUACGCUAAUACCGCAUACGACCUACGGGUGAAAGCAUGGGAUCUUCGGACCUUGCGCGAUUGAAUGAGCCGAUGUCGGAUUAGCUAGUUGGCGGGGUAAAGGCCCACCAAGGCGACGAUCCGUAGCUGGUCUGAGAGGAUGAUCAGCCACACUGGAACUGAGACACGGUCCAGACUCCUACGGGAGGCAGCAGUGGGGAAUAUUGGACAAUGGGCGAAAGCCUGAUCCAGCCAUACCGCGUGGGUGAAGAAGGCCUUCGGGUUGUAAAGCCCUUUUGUUGGGAAAGAAAAGCAGCAGGUUAAUACCCCGCUGUUCUGACGUUACCAAAAGAAUAAGCACCGGCUAACUUCGUG
This 492-nucleotide ribosomal RNA is filed under the name uncultured bacterium. RNAcentral's name for it is "partial 16S ribosomal RNA". It matches the Rfam family "Bacterial small subunit ribosomal RNA", at positions 29 to 507 of the family's 1533-position model. The record is from RNAcentral.